RNAcentral lists this ribosomal RNA (598 nucleotides) under uncultured bacterium. Its description in RNAcentral is "bacterial SSU rRNA". It matches the Rfam family "Bacterial small subunit ribosomal RNA", at positions 117 to 718 of the family's 1533-position model. The record is from RNAcentral.
GUAUACAAUCUGCCUUAUACUGGGGGAUAGCCUUUGGAAACGAAGAUUAAUACCCCAUAGUCUAUGAACGUGGCAUCCGAUCAUAGUAAAGGUUACGGUAUAAGAUGAGUAUGCGUCCUAUUAGUUAGUUGGUAAGGUAACGGCUUACCAAGACGACGAUAGGUAGGGGCCCUGAGAGGGGGAUCCCCCACACUGGUACUGAGACACGGACCAGACUCCUACGGGAGGCAGCAGUGAGGAAUAUUGGACAAUGGGGGCAACCCUGAUCCAGCCAUGCCGCGUGCAGGAAGACGGCCCUAUGGUUGUAAACUGCUUUUAUACAGGAAGAAACACUCUCACGUGUGAGAGCUUGACGGUACUGUAAGAAUAAGGACCGGCUAACUCCGUGCCAGCAGCCGCGGUAAUACGGAGGGUCCGAGCGUUAUCCGGAAUCAUUGGGUUUAAAGGGUCCGUAGCGGGCUAUUAAGUCAGAGGUGAAAGUUUGCGGCUCAACCGUAAAAUUGCCUUUGAUACUGGUAGUCUUGAAUUAAUAUGAAGUGGUUGGAAUGUGUAGUGUAGCGGUGAAAUGCAUAGAUAUUACACAGAACACCAAUUGCGA